AUUCCAGCUCCAAUAGCGUAUAUUAAAGUUGUUGUGGUUAAAAAGCUCGUAGUUGGAUUUCGGCGGGUAUUGGUUGGUUUGAAUUGCUUCAACACUGACUUUUUUACCCGUGUGUUUUGCCAGAAUUUAGCGGGUGAUCUUCGCCGAUUGUCCGUUGGAACUGGUAGGUUUACUUUGAAAAAAUUAGAGUGCUCAAAGCAAGCUUACUGCUUGAAUAGUUGCGCAUGGAAUAAUAGAAUAGGAAGUCGUUUCUAUUUUGUUGGUUUUCGGAAAUCGACUUAAUGAUUAAUAGGGAUAGUCGGGGGCAUUCGUAUUCAAACGACAGAGGUGAAAUUCUUGGACCGUUUGAAGACGAACUAAGGCGAAAGCAUUUGCCAAGAAUGUUUUCAUUA
RNAcentral lists this ribosomal RNA (392 nucleotides) under Centropages sp. RNAcentral describes it as "partial small subunit ribosomal RNA". It matches the Rfam family "Eukaryotic small subunit ribosomal RNA", at positions 582 to 975 of the family's 1831-position model. Lineage: Eukaryota; Metazoa; Arthropoda; Copepoda; Calanoida; Centropagidae. The record is from RNAcentral.